This 495-nucleotide ribosomal RNA is filed under the name uncultured bacterium. RNAcentral describes it as "partial 16S ribosomal RNA". It matches the Rfam family "Bacterial small subunit ribosomal RNA", at positions 28 to 507 of the family's 1533-position model. The record is from RNAcentral.
GACGAACGCUGGCGGCGUGCCUAAUACAUGCCAGUAGAACGCUGAAGGAGGAGCUUGCUUCUCUGGAUGAGUUGCGAACGGGUGAGUAACGCGUAGGUAACCUGCCUGGUAGCGGGGGAUAACUAUUGGAAACGAUAGCUAAUACCGCAUAAUAGUAGAUGUUGCAUGACAUUUGCUUAAAAGGUGCAAUUGCAUCACUACCAGAUGGACCUGCGUUGUAUUAGCUAGUUGGUGAGGUAACGGCUCACCAAGGCGACGAUACAUAGCCGACCUGAGAGGGUGAUCGGCCACACUGGGACUGAGACACGGCCCAGACUCCUACGGGAGGCAGCAGUAGGGAAUCUUCGGCAAUGGACGGAAGUCUGACCGAGCAACGCCGCGUGAGUGAAGAAGGUUUUCGGAUCGUAAAGCUCUGUUGUAAGAGAAGAACGAGUGUGAGAGUGGAAAGUUCACACUGUGACGGUAUCUUACCAGAAAGGGACGGCUAACUACGUG